UACGGAGGGGGCUAGCGUUGUUCGGAAUUACUGGGCGUAAAGCGCACGUAGGCGGCUUUGUAAGUUAGAGGUGAAAGCCCAGGGCUCAACCCUGGAAUUGCCUUUAAGACUGCAUCGCUUGAACAUCGGAGAGGUAAGUGGACUUCCGAGUGUAGAGGUGAAAUUCGUAGAUAUUCGGAAGAACACCAGUGGCGAAGGCGACUUACUGGACGAUUGUUGACGCUGAGGUUCGAAAGCGUGGGGAGCAAACAGG
This 253-nucleotide ribosomal RNA is filed under the name uncultured bacterium. RNAcentral describes it as "partial 16S ribosomal RNA". It matches the Rfam family "Bacterial small subunit ribosomal RNA", at positions 524 to 776 of the family's 1533-position model. The record is from RNAcentral.